UGAAGAGUUUGAUCAUGGCUCAGAUUGAACGCUGGCAGCAGGCCUAACAUACAAGUCGAGCGGAAACGAUGGAAGCUUGCUUCCAGGCGUCGAGCGGCGGACGGGUGAGUAAUGCAUAGGAAUCUGCCCGGUAGUGGGGAUAACCUGGGGAAACUCAGGCUAAUACCGCAUACGUCCUACGGGAGAAAGCAGGGGACCUUCGGGCCUUGCGCUAUCGGAUGAGCCUAUGUCGGAUUAGCUGGUUGGUGGUAACGGCUCACCAAGGCGACGAUCCGUAGCUGGUCUGAAGGAUGAUCAGCCACAUCGGGACUGAGACACGGCCCGAACUCCUACGGAGGCAGCAGUGGGGAUUGGACAAUGGGGGCAACCCUGAUCCAGCCAUGCGCGUGUGUGAAAGGCUUUCCGGGUUGUAAAGCACUUUCAGUGGGGAAGAAGGCUUUCCGGUUAUACCCGGAGGACAUCACCCACAGAAGAAGCACCGGCUAACUCCGUGCCAGCAGCCGCGGUAAUACGGAGGUGCGAGCGUUAAUCGGAAUGACUGGGCGUAAAGCGCGCGUAGGCGGCUUGGUAAGCCGGUUGUGAAAGCGGGCUCAGGAGAUGGCAUCGGAACUGUCAGGCUAGAGUGCAGGAGAGGAAGGUAGAAUUCCCGGUGUAGCGGUGAAAUGCGUAGAGAUCGGGAGGAAUACCAGUGGCGAAGGCGGCCUUCUGGACUGACACUGACGCUGAGGUGCAGCGUGGGUAGCAACAGGAUUAGAUACCCUGGUAGUCCACGCCGUAAACGAUGUCGACUAGCCGUUGGGGUCCUCGAGACCUUUGUGGCGCAGUUAACGCGAUAAGUCGACCGCCUGGGAGUACGGCCGCAAGGUUAAAACUCAAAUGAAUUGACGGGGCCCGCACAAGCGGUGGAGCAUAUGGUUUAAUUCGAUGCAACGCGAAGAACCUUACCUACCCUUGACAUCCUCGGAAGCCUGCAGAGAUGCGGGUGUGCCUUCGGGAGCCAGUGACAGGUGCUGCAUGGCCGUCGUCAGCUCGUGUUGUGAAAUGUUGGGUUAAGUCCCGUAACGAGCGCAACCCUUGUCCCUAUUUGCCAGCGAUUCGGUCGGGAACUCUAGGAGACUGCCGGUGACAAACCGGAGGAAGGUGGGGACGACGUCAGGUCAUCAUGGCCCUUACGGGUAGGGCUACACGUGCUACAAUGGUCGGUACAAAGGGUUGCGAGUUCGCGAGGACGAGCCAAUCCAAAAGCCGAUCUCAGUCCGGAUCGGAGUCUGCAACUCGACUCCGUGAAGUCGGAAUCGCUAGUAAUCGUGAAUCAGAAUGUCACGGUGAAUACGUUCCCGGGCCUUGUACACACCGCCCGUCACACCAUGGGAGUGGACUGCACCAGAAGUGGUUAGCCUAACCUUCGGGAGGGCGAUCACCACGGUGUGGUUCAUGACUGGGGUGAAAUCGUAACAAAGGUAGCCGUAGGGGAACCUGCGGCUGGAUCACCUCCUU
Molecule: ribosomal RNA, 1497 nt
Filed under: Halomonas sambharensis
Lineage: Bacteria; Pseudomonadati; Pseudomonadota; Gammaproteobacteria; Oceanospirillales; Halomonadaceae
Description: bacterial SSU rRNA
Rfam family: Bacterial small subunit ribosomal RNA
Source: RNAcentral